This 405-nucleotide long non-coding RNA is filed under the name Fukomys damarensis (Damara mole-rat). RNAcentral's name for it is "lncRNA (ENSFDAG00000028373.1)". The record is from RNAcentral. Lineage: Eukaryota; Metazoa; Chordata; Mammalia; Rodentia; Bathyergidae.
GGCUAAAAUCAUUAGAGCCUUGACAACCUAUAAAAUGUUAUAAUCUAAUAGUUUUUUCUCCUUCCGUAUCCCACCCUCCAUACCGCCUGAGACCUCAUUGUACGAAAGAGAAGUGGGGGUAUACGUGGAAGGAAAGCAAGAGUGAUAUUGAAAAGAAUAGGCUGUGGCUAGAUUUGAGAGAUUAUGCAGGCAAAACAAAUAAACAAAACAGAAAAAAACUACCAAGUACAGUAGAGAUCCCUACGUAUCCUUACAUAUACUGAUGCAAUGAAGACUCACAUUUUUAAGCUCCAUAUUGCACAUGCUGUGUAUCCACCCAUCUUCCAUGGAGCACAAGGGAGAUCAGGACUGCAGGGCUACAUGAAAGAUGUAGUCUAACCUUAAGAAGGGAUUUCUUAACUGCAC